UACGUAGGGGGCAAGCGUUGUCCGGAAUUAUUGGGCGUAAAGCGUGCGUAGACGGUUAUUUAAGUCGGGUGUGAAAGCCCCGGGCUCAACCUGGGAAUUGCAUUCGAGACUGAAUAGCUAGGGUACGGUAGAGGGAAGUGGAAUUUCCGGUGUAGCGGUGAAAUGCGUAGAUAUCGGAAGGAACAUCAGUGGCGAAAGCGACUUCCUGGACCAGUACCGACGUUCAGGCACGAAAGCGUGGGGAGCAAACAGG
RNAcentral lists this ribosomal RNA (253 nucleotides) under uncultured bacterium. RNAcentral describes it as "partial 16S ribosomal RNA". It matches the Rfam family "Bacterial small subunit ribosomal RNA", at positions 524 to 776 of the family's 1533-position model. The record is from RNAcentral.